CGUGUAGGCGGCCGAUUAAGUAUGGAGUGAAAGUCCUGCUUUCAAGGUGGGAAUUGCUUUGUAGACUGGUUGGCUUGAGUGCGGAAGAGGUAAGUGGAAUUCCCAGUGUAGCGGUGAAAUGCGUAGAGAUUGGGAGGAACACCAGUGGCGAAGGCGACUUACUGGGCCGUAAUUGACGCUGAGGCGCGAAAGCGUGGGGAGCGAACA
Molecule: ribosomal RNA, 207 nt
Filed under: uncultured bacterium
Lineage: Bacteria
Description: partial 16S ribosomal RNA
Rfam family: Bacterial small subunit ribosomal RNA
Source: RNAcentral